RNAcentral lists this ribosomal RNA (484 nucleotides) under uncultured bacterium. Its description in RNAcentral is "partial 16S ribosomal RNA". It matches the Rfam family "Bacterial small subunit ribosomal RNA", at positions 28 to 523 of the family's 1533-position model. The record is from RNAcentral.
GACGAACGCUGGCGGCGUGCUUAACACAUGCAAGUCGAACGAUGAAGAUGGUGCUUGCUCUGGCGGAUUAGUGGCGAACGGGUGAGUAACACGUGAGAAAUCUGCCCUUGACUCUGGGAUAACUGCGGGAAACUGUAGCUAAUACCGGAUACUUUCCCUGGUGGGCAUCCACUGGGGAAGAAAGAAUUUCGGUCAAGGAUGAUCUCGCGGCCUAGCAGCUUGUUGGUGAGGUAAUGGCUCACCAAGGCGAGGAAGGGUAGCCGACCUGAGAGGGUGACCGGCCACACUGGGGCUGAGACACGGCCCAGACUCCUACGGGAGGCAGCAGUGGGGAAUAUUGCACAAUGGGCGCAAGCCUGAUGCAGCAACGCCGCGUGAGGGAUGAAGGCCUUCGGGUUGUAAACCUCUUUUAGCAGGGAAGAAGCGAAAGUGACGGUACCUGCAGAAGAAGCACCGGCUAACUACGUGCCAGCCGCCGCCGUAA